RNAcentral lists this ribosomal RNA (159 nucleotides) under Desulfallas thermosapovorans DSM 6562. RNAcentral's name for it is "partial 16S ribosomal RNA". It matches the Rfam family "Bacterial small subunit ribosomal RNA", at positions 1 to 148 of the family's 1533-position model. The record is from RNAcentral. Lineage: Bacteria; Bacillati; Bacillota; Clostridia; Eubacteriales; Desulfallaceae.
CUUUUAUGGAGAGUUUGAUCCUGGCUCAGGACGAACGCUGGCGGCGUGCUUAACACAUGCAAGUCGAACGGGGUUUAACGAGAAGCUUACUUUUUGUUAAACCUAGUGGCGGACGGGUGAGUAACGCGUGGAUAACCUGCCCAAUAGCCUGGGAUAACG